Molecule: long non-coding RNA, 725 nt
Organism: Paramormyrops kingsleyae
Lineage: Eukaryota; Metazoa; Chordata; Actinopteri; Osteoglossiformes; Mormyridae
Source: RefSeq, a predicted model, not a curated record
GCGGACAGCGGUUCCGCGUCGGGUUGAGUGCCCAGCGACAGGCACGUGGCAGACGGUCUCCUUCCCCAGGACCCCGACUUCCCUCCCUGCCCAGGUCCGGUCAUGUGUUGAAUCUGCCCGGCUGUCGGGACGGAUGUGGAAAGAAUGCGGGGCGGCGGGGCGGCGGACGUGGAGAGCGGCCUGCAGAUAGCACCCCAUUAGAGUGAUAAAGGAGCCGCUGCUGCACUGACUGACGGCGAGGUUCUAUUUAAACACCAACACAGAAACCAAGAGACGACAACACGCAGGCCAAGAGACGACAACACGACCCGCGCGCAAAUCGCACCCUCCUAUUUCCCUAAUCUGCACCACUUCUUGUUGGUUUGCUGUUUUCUUCCCUUUCUCCAUUUUGGUUUCAUUUAAGUCUCGCCACCAGUCCGGAAUACACAGGAAAUUGAACAUUUCAUUGAAAUUGAACUGCCUGCAAUUCAGGUCUUCAUUUUCAGUUGUUAUUUCCUCAGAAAGUCUCAACGUAAUAUUUAAGAAGCGAAAAUGCAGAGCCUAAUGUCUGCUACAAAACCGUGUUCCACUCCUGCCUGAUACAGGUCAUGUCUGAAUUUGUUGAACGCUCAGAACUCAGAACUCCGUCUGGUCCCGGCUCUGGACAAACGGCACCUUGCCCGUGAUAUGAAUGUUAAUUGAUGCCGCAAGGAAAUGAAAAAAAUAAAAAUCUAUUUUUACCAUAA